UGAUCGUGACUCUGUUCAGUCCUCUGUAGUCAAUACAUAAACUUAACGUCCAAUUCCCCUUCCUUGCAAAUGUGACUCCGGCACCCCUUAGGACACACUAUGUCAUAUGAAUCCAUUAUCUUGCAAUUCAUUGAUCUGUUUCCUCAACUCCUCCAUCUCAACACGACUCACGCAGUAAGGGGCAAUCGAAAUAGGCUGAGUGUCUGGCUGGAGGUCUAUGGUGAACUCAACUUCUAUAUCCACUUAUAAUUUGAAAAGUUCAUCAGGAAACACAUUCGAGAAGUCUCAGACUACUAGAAUCUCUUAAAUACAAAUUUAUUUCUUAAGUUUACCCAGUAUAGAGAAAACAAUCGA
This 354-nucleotide long non-coding RNA is filed under the name Carica papaya (papaya). RNAcentral describes it as "long non-coding RNA (CPAP_LNC004632)". Lineage: Eukaryota; Viridiplantae; Streptophyta; Magnoliopsida; Brassicales; Caricaceae. The record is from RNAcentral.